Molecule: long non-coding RNA, 229 nt
Organism: Anoplopoma fimbria (sablefish)
Lineage: Eukaryota; Metazoa; Chordata; Actinopteri; Perciformes; Anoplopomatidae
Exons: 3
Source: RefSeq, a predicted model, not a curated record
CUGUGUCUUGCAAGCUAAACAGGAAUAAACACGACGUUGUUCUCUUUAAACAUUGGCAGUCUGCUCUGAAGAAAGAUUUCAGAUGGAGAGCAUCAGCUGCAGGAGGUGGCACAAGGAAGGACAUGGUGGUUUUAAAAAGCCAGCUGGCUUACAAGUUUGUCCAUGGAAAACGUGGACAACACAUCGCAAGAGGAUUUGUUUCUGGGAGCAACUGAGAAUGGCCACACAA